GACGGAGGGUGCUAGCGUUGUUCGGAAUCACUGGGCGUAAAGGGCGCGUAGGCGGCUCAUGGUGUCGGAUGUGAAAGCCCGGGGCUCAACCCCGGAGGUGCAUCCGAAACUCAUGGGCUGGAGGUCGGAAGAGGAGGGUGGAAUACCCAGUGUAGAGGUGAAAUUCGUAGAUAUCUGGAGGAACACCGGUGGCGAAGGCGGCAUCCUGGACCGGCAUUGACGCUGAGGCGCGAAAGCCAGGGGAGCAAACGGG
RNAcentral lists this ribosomal RNA (253 nucleotides) under uncultured bacterium. RNAcentral's name for it is "partial 16S ribosomal RNA". It matches the Rfam family "Bacterial small subunit ribosomal RNA", at positions 524 to 776 of the family's 1533-position model. The record is from RNAcentral.